GGGGAAUAUUGCACAAUGGGGGAAACCCUGAUGCAGCGACGCCGCGUGGAGGAAGAAGGUCUUCGGAUUGUAAACUCCUGUUGUUGAGGAAGAUAAUGACGGUACUCAACAAGGAAGUGACGGCUAACUACGUGCCAGCAGCCGCGGUAAAACGUAGGUCACAAGCGUUGUCCGGAAUUACUGGGUGUAAAGGGAGCGCAGGCGGGAAGACAAGUUGGAAGUGAAAUCUAUGGGCUCAACCCAUAAACUGCUUUCAAAACUGUUUUUCUUGAGUAGUGCAGAGGUAGGCGGAAUUCCCGGUGUAGCGGUGGAAUGCGUAGAUAUCGGGAGGAACACCAGUGGCGAAGGCGGCCUACUGGGCACCAACUGACGCUGAGGCUCGAAAGUGUGGGUAGCAAACAGGAUUAGAUACCCUGGUAGUCCACACCGUAAACGAUGAUUACUAGGUGUUGGAGGAUUGACCCCUUCAGUGCCGCAGUUAACACAAUAAGUAAUCCACCUGGGGAGUACGACCGCAAGGUUGAAACUCAAAGGAAUUGACGGGGGCCCGCACAAGCAGUGGAGUAUGUGGUUUAAUUCGACGCAACGCGAAGAACCUUACCAAGUCUUGACAUCCUGCGACGAUGCUGGAAACAGCAUUUUCCUUCGGGACGCAGAGACAGGUGGUGCAUGGUUGUCGUCAGCUCGUGUCGUGAGAUGUUGGGUUAAGUCCCGCAACGAGCGCAACCCUUACUGUCAGUUACUACGCAAGAGGACUCUGGCAGGACUGCCGUUGACAAAACGGAGGAAGGUGGGGAUGACGUCAAAUCAUCAUGCCCUUUAUGACUUGGGCUACACACGUACUACAAUGGCGUUAAACAAAGAGAAGCAAGACCGCGAGGUGGAGCAAAACUCAGAAACAACGUCCCAGUUCGGACUGCAGGCUGCAACUCGCCUGCACGAAGUCGGAAUUGCUAGUAAUCGUGGAUCAGCAUGCCACGGUGAAUACGUUCCCG
RNAcentral lists this ribosomal RNA (995 nucleotides) under uncultured organism. RNAcentral describes it as "bacterial SSU rRNA". It matches the Rfam family "Bacterial small subunit ribosomal RNA", at positions 356 to 1376 of the family's 1533-position model. The record is from RNAcentral.